Molecule: long non-coding RNA, 2039 nt
Organism: Anarrhichthys ocellatus (wolf-eel)
Lineage: Eukaryota; Metazoa; Chordata; Actinopteri; Perciformes; Anarhichadidae
Exons: 4
Source: RefSeq, a predicted model, not a curated record
GGCUUUGAACGCGUCCUUCCUGAACGUGUCAAACUUGGGUGGAUUCAUCGAUACAUUGAGGGAAUAUAUCGACCGCCUGCUGCCCAAACGGGAAAAUAAAUAAAAUCAGAUCUCUUCACCGUUAAUAGGUUUAAGAAAUGCCUCCUAAAACAAUUAAGAUGGCUUUGGUGGACAUGAUGGAGGACCUGUCGAGUCAGAACUUCGAAAGGUUCUGCCACGAUCUUCUGGACCGCAGAGAAGAGCCGCAAGUCAGGCGCAACAGGGUGGAGGGUAGAACCCGCUUAGAAGUCGUGAGCGUCCUAGUUUCCACUUUUACCGAGCCCGUUGCUGUUCAAGUGUCCGUGGAAAUACUGAGACAGAUUAGCCUCAACGACGAGGCGGAGAGACUUGUCAGAAUGACAACUUGAGGACAUUAAACAUCCCGCUUUGACAAUGUAAGGCCCUCAUGAGCAGGAUUCAGCAUGGUGGGAGACGGGAAACACUCGAUGCAUCGACACACGUGUGCUCAUCCAGGACACGAACAUUGUCGCCCCAUAAAUGAUGAACUAUCCAGAGAGAAUAUUGUCAUAAGAGAGCCGUCUGCAGAAACCAACUUCAAAUCACUAAUCAACAUUUUGUACUUUGUCAUAAUAAAGUCUUUCUUGGGUCUUUUCCCUCUGUGGCUCACAUUAUUUCUUAAAAAUCAUAGGUAUUUAUCAACAUUGAUCCUAUUUCCACAAUAUAUUAGUUUGUAUAAAUUAACCUUUUAUUGUCUAAAAAACAACCAAAACAGCUUUAUGUAAACGAAGGCCUAUAUACGUUUUACUGUAUGUAAGCAGGCCAUUUUUACAUUACCUUUACCUAAAAAGAAGGAUUGCAUUACAGAAAAUGCUCUUUCAAUAAAUAACAAUGAGUGUUCAUACUGUUAAAAAAAAUAAGGCACCAUUUACAGCACAAGAGUUGUAAUAAAACAGCACAAGAGUUGUAAUAAAAGGGGUUUAUUAAUGUUAAUAAAUAAUGUUUUGGUCAAUUUUAUUCAUAGCCCAAUAUCACAAAUUUACCUGAAGGGGCUUUACAAUCUGUACAGCAUACGAGACCUUCUGUCAUUUAAAAAUAAUCUUUUGACUGGUGAAAACAACUUAUGACUCCUUUAUUAUUUUAGUCUGAAGAGGACGACAGGCCGCUGACUUCCAAAGAGAACGAGGGUCACUAACGGGGCGGCGGGGGGAAUGAUGUCCUCCUCCAGCUCCUUUUCGGCGUCCUCCGUAUAGACCUGGAGGGAAGGCAGAGGACAGUGGAGUGAGACGGGGCGAUGCAUUCAUCAUCAAAUUAUCUACAAGAGACACACUACCGAUUAUACACAUUAAGUUCAGUUUAAACGCCAUGAGCAGUAUCUUUAUAAAAACGUGGUACAACGUGUGGAGGAGCUUUCUGGUGUCUGAGAAAAUGACUCUGAUUACGUCAUCGGGGUUUCCUUGACACAUUUUUAAGGACAGGUUCACAUUUUUCAAUUCUUCCAAAGUUAUAGCUCUUUUAGUUGGAAUAAUCUCCUCUUUGUGAUUCCCUGGAAAAGGUUUCUCUACUGAGCUGAAGUGGAAGGAUUAUAACAUAAAGAGGGAAUUAUGUUUCUGUAACUGUGGAGGAUUCCCACUUGAUCUGCUGAAGCCUCGUAUUAACUUUAGAUUCGUUUUUUGUGCACAGAACAAGGGCAGUGGACUUUGUCCUCCCCCUCACUCACAUUAGACGCACAUUACAAAGGGAUCUAAGUAUUGUUUUAGAAAAAGACGAUCCUUUAGUGUAAAGCACGCUCUACAAAGUGAAGGUGUGGGGAAUAGUCCGGGCAAUACUGGACUUUUGAGACCAAUACUGUUAUUGAUAUUUGGGAAUUUAUAAAACCCUAUUAUGAUAUAUGGUUUUUGGGGGUUCAGAUUUGCUCCCAUUAAAUGGCAUCUAGCUAUGGAUAGAUAGGGAAUAGUUGUUUGCAUGACACAAUAGUGCGAUACAUCGUUUCUUCACUAAGUCGCUGCAGUUUCCUUUUAAAAGAAGAAAGAAGUGGAUAA